This 117-nucleotide ribosomal RNA is filed under the name Candidatus Marinamargulisbacteria bacterium SCGC AG-343-D04. The record is from RNAcentral. Lineage: Bacteria; Bacillati; Candidatus Margulisiibacteriota; Candidatus Marinamargulisbacteria.
CUUGGUCAUUAUAGCGGAGGGGGUACACCUGUUCUCAUUCCGAAUACAGAAGUUAAGUCCUUUAGCGCCUAUGGUACUGCCGGGUUACCCUGGUGGGAGAGUUGGUCGUGGCCAAGU